GUGUUUGGCUCCCGGUUUACCGCACAGAUGCAUUAUUUCCAGCCAAAAUGGCCUCAUGCCACUAAAGUAUGUGCCGUACGUGUUGCAAUCCAUAUGCAUUCUUUAAAAAAAAAAAUAUAUAUAUUUAUAUAUAUGCAAGUGCACGUCUGUAGGAAGCCAACUGUGGUGGAGAAGGAGGAGGCUUGUUUGGCUUGAUAAUCACGUGCCUGCUCGAGAUAAGGAAAAAGUGUUUUGUGAAAAGAAAACAUGGGCGGCAGUCCUCCAUCCCGGCUGACCCCGGCGCUGUAGCCCUUGUGAUUGGGGUCAGCCUGGAGAUUCCUCUCUGGCCAGCUAAUGUGAUUGCAUCGGAGCAAUCCCCUUAAACGCCAUCAGCUCUGAUCUGCAUAGUAAUUGGCUCGACUCUCCUUGGACGUGACCUUGGGGAGGGGCGCUGUCACUCCUGCCGCUCUCUCCUGUACUGGCAAUCAUACACACACAUACAAACUCGCACACGCACACGCAGUGGCAACAUGGCCACGCAUGCAUGCACAGACAAGGUGAGGAGCGCAGGUUUGGAAACCGACUGCAAACUGACGGAGAAAUUCAGGUGACAGGUGUUAAUAAACUACGAGGAAAUGGGCGAUAUCAACACGUAUUAUAAGAUAAUGACAAACUAAGUGUCGCACAUUGACACAGGUGUCUGUCACUGUGUUGGUGGAGCAUCCUAAGUGAGUUAGCAGGGGUUGCAGACCAAAGUCAUCCGCACUGGAAACCCACGACAGUGUGUGGCAAAUGGCGCCGAAAGUGCCCCUCAAAGCUUCUUUAAGUAUAAAUGAGCCUGUUGCUGUGAUUAGCAGUAAUUCAUAAAGGAACAGGCAGCGGUUAAGUCAUCCUGCUGCAGUUCUAUUUUUCAAACGCCCCGUAACCUUCUCUCUUUUUGUCCUUCUUGCAUCAGCACUAUUUGUUGAAGAUCUUAACGAAAGACAAAGAAGCAAAUGUAUAUUUUAUGAAUGUAUGCCUCUGGUUUAUCUUCCUUUGUGGGGCUUGUGUAUACAACCGAAACCAGCUCUCGCAGAGAAAAGCGCCUUUUCUUCUCCUGUCCCCCGAUGUCAACGACAAGGAUCUCCUUGCAGAUCCCGUAGGACUCCUUUGGCUGUCGUCCCAUCAGAACUCCUCUCUUCAAGGAGAGACGGCUCGAUGGUGCUCAGAUGGAGAGAGCGCUGUCAGAGGAGUGGCAUGUGACUAAUCAGACCGCUCCACCCAUUGUCCGCCUACCCACAGAGGAAUCAGCUGAUUCGUCUUUCUAUCCAUCCGGUGUGCAGAAAACAGAAGAACUUUUGCAACACAUGUAACAACCUAAUCUUGACUGUAAUGUGAUUGCUGAAUUUAGUGCAGUAACUCAUUGGAUUACAGCAUUAUUGAAAAAUGUAACGUAAUUACAGUCACGUGUUACUUUGGAACAUCUUGUGCCCAGAAUCAGUUUUGGAAACAUUCCAAUAAUCUUUUCUCCCUUUUCUUACAAUUCAGUCAUCCACCCAUGAACACAGACAUUUACUAUAUUAAGCUAAGUGAGGUUGUAUUUUGUCAAUAGUUAGCGAGCUAGCUAGUUUGAGGAAAUAGGUAUUUUGCAAAAAGCAAAAUUGGACUUCACAUGUGUUGAAAGUGGACUGCAUUCACUUUCAACACAAAUAACGGUUAAAAAAAAAAAGAAGAAAAAACUACCAGGUAGCUUUUGGAGGGUUACUCUAGUUAGGCUAACUGUUUUGAGUUUGCCACCUUGGUUGCUAAGACUGUUUUGAUUUUGUGUGUUUGUCUGGUCAGUUUCUUUCCAGUUAUUAAAAAUAUCUGCAUGACGUGUCGUAGGUAUAAAUGAGUGUGUUUGCUGAGAUGUAGAGGUACCUGACCAGGCUAUUUGUGUCCCUAGUUGGGCAUUUCGUGGCUUUCAGAUGAUUGGCUCCAGGCUGAGGAAAACCGUCUACACUAAGAGCCAAGACAACAAUAGCGCCAGAUUCUGUAUGAAGUAAGGUCAACAUACCCAGGAUAUAUUUCCUGCCUUCACUUACCCUAACACUGGCAAUCAGGCUAAACAGUCACAUGAAGGUAGAUAUCACCUCAAUACAUUAAUCCAGAGUUUCACCGUCUAGCUAAAAUCAUGUUCACAUGAAAAGGGUGGUGUCAGCAGCAAGUGACCAAUCACGAACAAGGAGUUUACUGUCAGCGCAGUGACUGGUUUUAAAAGGGAACAUAAAAGUAUAGUUUUACUAAAGUGCGACCAAUUAAGCACAAAUUAAAAGAUAAAAAUAACACAGCUUCUCUGGACAAAUCUGCAGUGUGAGAGUGUGUUUUAGGAAAUGUACAGCAGCAAAGAAUUAAAAUGGGUAUGCACACUGGACAAGAUCUUGUAUAUUACUAAAGUUUAGCCUAUUUGAAGUCAGGAAGCAAAGCCAGCAAAAGUGCUGACUGUGUGAGUUUACAUACUUAUAAAAUAUUACAACUCUGUCGUAACAGAGAAACAAGAGAAUCUGAUGUGUUACGUUAUUCCGUUAAAUUAAUGUUUAGAUGUGCACUGGACAGUUUUAGCUUUCACUCUUUCAGCUGCAGCCCUGGUGGUGUUUAAAGAUCUGAGAGAAAAAUAUAAACAGUUUAGGAUACUGUACACAAUAAAACUGUAAAAGCUUCAAAGAAUAAUCAAAGAAUAAACUUGCAUCAAAAAUUCUAUAAUUACUACAGAUUAUCAUCAUGAAAAGGCAAACAAUUUAAAGACUCUCACUCUCUCCCCUUUUACUGUCUUACCAUCCUAUAGAGGUCCCACGGAUCUUCCAGGAAUGUAGAUGCAAUUUUCCAAAGAACCGACUGGUCAGUAGGAAGUGAUUUCAUAUCUGCCGAUCUCUAAUCGCUAACAUAAUCUGCUCCAAAGCAGAUUAGAUCUGCAUAGGCAUAAGUUAACAAGUACGCCAGUAAGACUUCUCAAAGCCCAGUUCAUAGUAAAGGGCUCAGGUCAACCUGCCAUGCAUCUUUCUACCUGUUGCUGCUAUUUUAAUUGUCAGUCUGAAGCAGUUUUCAUCGGUGAGCUGCCAUUUAUUUUGUUGAACUGGGUUUCUCCUGUAAGGUGUUUUCCUGUAUUAUGACGAAUGGGAACUUCUUGAAAAGGUUAACUAAUUUCAACACUUGCAUUUUGUAAACACAGCAUAUAUCAAUUUUAAAACAACCAAGUUGUGCCUUUGGGAAAGAGGAAGAUGGAUUUUUAGUUGCAUUUCAGCAAUAGGUAUAGAUGUACUGUUAGGCUCGUAAACACAGCUGAGUAAGGGUUAACGUCUUCUUUAAUUAAUGUACAUGCUGAGGGUCAGUCAGUGAGUGCACAAUCAGCAGAAACAAAUGUCACUGCAAAGCAGGAAGAAUACACCAAAAAUGAACAAUGCUGUGUUAGUAAUGAAUAUGUUACUGUGUGGUUGGAAUUAUUAGGCACCAAAAAGCUUGAGUCUGAUUUUCAUACUGAAACUUUACAAUAUUGUCUUUUAAUACAGGGUAACCCAAAUUAUCAGAGUAUAUCACGAAAUUUAAAAAAAA
RNAcentral lists this long non-coding RNA (3546 nucleotides) under Oreochromis niloticus (Nile tilapia). Its description in RNAcentral is "lncRNA (ENSONIG00000032342.1)". The record is from RNAcentral. Lineage: Eukaryota; Metazoa; Chordata; Actinopteri; Cichliformes; Cichlidae.